GACGAACGCUGGCGGCGUGCUUAACACAUGCAAGUCGAACGGAAAGGCCCUGCUUUUGUGGGGUGCUCGAGUGGCGAACGGGUGAGUAACACGUGAGUAACCUGCCCUUGACUUUGGGAUAACUUCAGGAAACUGGGGCUAAUACCGGAUAGGAGCUCCUGCUGCAUGGUGGGGGUUGGAAAGUUUCGGCGGUUGGGGAUGGACUCGCGGCUUAUCAGCUUGUUGGUGGGGUAGGGGCUUACCAAGGCUUUGACGGGUAGCCGGCCUGAGAGGGUGACCGGCCACAUUGGGACUGAGAGACGGCCCAGACUCCUACGGGAGGCAGCAGUGGGGAAUAUUGCGCAAUGGGCGGAAGCCUGAUGCAGCAACGCCGCGUGCGGGAUGACGGCCUUCGGGUUGUAAACCGCUUUCGCCUGUGACGAAGCGUGAGUGACGGUAAUGAGUAAAGAAGCACCGGCUAACUACGUG
Molecule: ribosomal RNA, 468 nt
Filed under: uncultured bacterium
Lineage: Bacteria
Description: partial 16S ribosomal RNA
Rfam family: Bacterial small subunit ribosomal RNA
Source: RNAcentral